GAUGAACGCUGGCGGCGUGCUUAAGACAUGCAAGUCGAACGGACUUAACCAUUAGUUUACUAUUGGAGCGGUUAGUGGCGGACUGGUGAGUAACACGUAAGCAACCUGCCUAUCAGAGGGGAACAACAGUUAGAAAUGACUGCUAAUACCGCAUAUGCCUUAAUUAUCACAUUGAUAAUAGACGGGAAAGGAGCAAUCCGCUGAUAGAUGGGCUUGCGUCUGAUUAGAUAGUUGGUAAGGUAACGGCUUACCAAGUCGACGAUCAGUAGCCGGACUGAGAGGUUGAACGGCCACAUUGGGACUGAGAUACGGCCCAG
RNAcentral lists this ribosomal RNA (317 nucleotides) under uncultured bacterium. RNAcentral's name for it is "bacterial SSU rRNA". It matches the Rfam family "Bacterial small subunit ribosomal RNA", at positions 28 to 334 of the family's 1533-position model. The record is from RNAcentral.